Molecule: ribosomal RNA, 257 nt
Filed under: uncultured bacterium
Lineage: Bacteria
Description: partial small subunit ribosomal RNA
Rfam family: Bacterial small subunit ribosomal RNA
Source: RNAcentral
AGGACGAACGCUGGCGGCGUGCUUAACACAUGCAAGUCGAGCGGAAAGGCCUUUCGGGGUACUCGAGCGGCGAACGGGUGAGUAACACGUGAGUAACCUGCCCCCUACUUUGGGAUAACCCUCGGAAACGGGGGCUAAUACCGGAUAUGACUUGGCCCGGCAUCGGGUUUGGUGGAAAGUUUUUCGGUGGGGGAUGGGCUCGCGGCCUAUCAGCUUGUUGGUGGGGUAAUGGCCUACCAAGGCGACGACGGGUAGCC